GACGAACGCUGGCGGCGUGCUUAACACAUGCAAGUCGAACGGAAAGGCCCUGCUUUUGUGGGGUGCUCGAGUGGCGAACGGGUGGGUAACACGUGAGUAACCUGCCCUUGACUUUGGGAUAACUUCAGGAAACUGGGGCUAAUACCGGAUAGGAGCUCCUGCUGCAAGGUGGGGGUUGGAAAGUUUCGGCGGUUGGGGAUGGACUCGCGGCUUAUCAGCUUGUUGGUGGGGUAGUGGCUUACCAAGGCUUUGACGGGUAGCCGGCCUGAGAGGGUGACCGGCCACAUUGGGACUGAGAUACGGCCCAGACUCCUACGGGAGGCAGCAGUGGGGAAUAUUGCACAAUGGGCGGAAGCCUGAUGCAGCAACGCCGCGUGCGGGAUGACGGCCUUCGGGUUGUAAACCGCUUUCGCCUGUGACGAAGCGUGAGUGAAGGUAAUGGGUAAAGAAGCACCGGCUAACUACGUG
Molecule: ribosomal RNA, 468 nt
Filed under: uncultured bacterium
Lineage: Bacteria
Description: partial 16S ribosomal RNA
Rfam family: Bacterial small subunit ribosomal RNA
Source: RNAcentral